AGAGUUUGAUUAUGGCUCAGGAUGAACGCUGGCGGCGUGCUUAACACAUGCAAGUCGAACGGAGUUUUUAAACGGAAGUUUUCGGAUGGAAGUUUAGAACUUAGUGGCGGACGGGUGAGUAACGCGUGGGUAACCUGCCUCAUACAGGGGGAUAACAGUUAGAAAUGACUGCUAACACCGCAUAAUAUAGCGAAACCGCAUGAUUUUUGCUAUCAAAUAUUUAUAGGUAUGAGAUGGGCCCGCGUCUGAUUAGCCAGUUGGUGGGGUAAAGCCUACCAAGGCGACGAUCAGUAGCCGGCUUGAGAGAGUGACCGGCCACAUUGGGACUGAGACACGGCCCAAACUCCUACGGGAGGCAGCAGUGGGGAAUAUUGGACAAUGGGGGAAACCCUGAUCCAGCGAACCGCCGCGUGAGUGAAGAAGUAUUUCGGUAUGUAAAGCUCUAUCAGCAGGGAAGAUAAUGACAGUACCUGACUAAGAAGCCCCGGCUAACUACGUGCCAGCAGCCGC
RNAcentral lists this ribosomal RNA (510 nucleotides) under uncultured bacterium. RNAcentral's name for it is "bacterial SSU rRNA". It matches the Rfam family "Bacterial small subunit ribosomal RNA", at positions 8 to 518 of the family's 1533-position model. The record is from RNAcentral.